This is a non-coding RNA of Populus trichocarpa (black cottonwood), 130 nucleotides long. The record is from Rfam. NCBI's taxonomy places the organism in Eukaryota, Viridiplantae, Streptophyta, Magnoliopsida, Malpighiales, Salicaceae.
UUGUUUGCAGGUGCAGCAUCAUCAAGAUUCACAUUCAAAUAGAUGUACCGAAGCUAUACAGCUAUGUAGCUAGCUAGCAAUGUAUAAUCAUUGUAGGUGAGAAUCUUGAUGAUGCUGCAUCAGCCAUAAA